GAUAGAAUAAGCUAAAAUUAAGCUGUUGGGCUCAUACCCCGAAAAUGGAACUAUCCUUCUAUCA
This 64-nucleotide transfer RNA is filed under the name Paraleonnates uschakovi. RNAcentral describes it as "tRNA-Met". Lineage: Eukaryota; Metazoa; Annelida; Polychaeta; Phyllodocida; Nereididae. The record is from RNAcentral.